This 380-nucleotide long non-coding RNA is filed under the name Phoenix dactylifera (date palm). Its description in RNAcentral is "long non-coding RNA (PDAC_LNC003450)". Lineage: Eukaryota; Viridiplantae; Streptophyta; Magnoliopsida; Arecales; Arecaceae. The record is from RNAcentral.
CAUGAGCAAAUGGUAGGUAGACUGGUAGCUCGAAAGGCAUUGGGAUGAGGCCAACCUAAAAUCGCAUUGUAGGUAGAAGGGAUUCGGACUACUAGGAAGUCUAGUUUCACCAUGCUCUACCAAGGCUCUUGACCCGCAGUGAUAGGUAGGUUAAUUACAUAUUCCAUGAGAAUAGAGUCUUUUGAAAAAUUGACUAGUGGUGAAUUGACCUUUCUUAGCCAUUCGGCAGGUAACUUUAUUUUUUAGAAGGCAUCGUAAAAUAACAUAUCAGAUGAACUUUCAUUAUCUACAGGAGUUCCUCUUACAUCAUAGUUUGAAAUAGUAAAAGAGAUAACAACAGCAUCAUUAUGAGGAGUUUGGACUCCUUUUAGGUCGACAUC